This is an RNA transcript of Cyclopterus lumpus (lumpfish), 3186 nucleotides long. It is a transcript of the gene named zinc finger DHHC-type palmitoyltransferase 20a, with no coding region annotated. The record is from RefSeq and is a predicted model, not a curated record. NCBI's taxonomy places the organism in Eukaryota, Metazoa, Chordata, Actinopteri, Perciformes, Cyclopteridae. The transcript is spliced from 12 exons.
GUCUCGCGCUUGCAGAGUCUUUGACUCGAGCAUAUAAAAUCCAUGGCCGUGACGUCACUGCCAGCUAACGUCCCACACGGAUUAAAGAUGGCGCCCUCUCAUGCGCUGAAGUGCUGUCACCGGGCUCUGAACUGGGUACCUGUCCUGUUUAUAAACCUGGUUGUCGGCUGGUCUUAUUACGCGUAUGUUGUGGAGCUCUGCGUCUAUACAAUAACAAAUAAUGCAGAACGAAUCAGCUAUUUGAUCAUCUUUCACAUUUUCUUCGCCAUGUUUAUAUGGUCCUACUGGAAAACUAUUGGGUCCAGACCAGCUGGACCCUCAAAAGCAUUCAGCCUGCCCAGAGCAGAGAAGGAACUGUACGAGAGAGAGGAGCGAGCCGAGACGCAACAUGAGAUUCUUAAGAAAGUGGCGAGGAAUUUACCCGUGUAUACAUUCACGGCAGGAAAAGCUGUCCGAUACUGCAACCACUGCCAGAUUAUCAAACCUGACCGCUGCCAUCACUGCUCAACCUGUGAGAUGUGUGUGCUGAAAAUGGACCAUCACUGCCCCUGGGUGAAUAACUGUGUUGGAUUCUCAAACUACAAGUACUUUGUGCUGUUCUUGGCCUAUGCCUCACUCUACUGUGUCGUCAUUUGUUCUACUGUCAUCCAGUAUUUCAUCAAAUUCUGGACAAAACAGCUGCCUGACACGUCCGCCAAAUUCCACAUCUUGUUUCUGUUUUUCGUGGCUGCCCUGUUCUUGAUCUGCAACCUGUCACUUCUCAGCUACCAUAUGUGGCUUGUGGGAAAUAACAGGACCACUAUAGAAGCUUUUCGGGCUCCCGUCUUCACAAAUGGUCCAGACAAGAAGGGCUUUUCUCUCGGCUUUAGCCGAAAUGCAGCUGAGGUGUUUGGAGACCAAGCAAAGUACUGGAUGAUUCCUGUUUUCUCAAGUCAAGGAGAUGGACAUUCCUUUGGCACCAGAUUGGUACACAUAGAUCCUAAACAAGCAAACAGUGUUCCCCAGCAAAAUGGCAAAAGCCCUGCUGAUGGGAAGGCCGACCCCUGUGUGCUUGGUAACAAUAUUCAACACACGGCAGAUGACAGCAAAGAGGAAACCGGUUUGUUGUUGAUGCCUUUGUUUUCAUUUCAGUAUGGCCUAUAUGUUUGCGUUAAUACAAGGAACUUUAAACUGGUUAUGAAAUAGUCUCAAUUUAAUACUGAUGCCUCGAUAUGAGCUGCAUUUAUAUACUAUUUCUAUAUAUAGUUAUUCUUAAUGCUUGACAUCUGGUCAGAUUCCCCACGGAAUCAAACAAAGCAAUUUCCAAAAUUCAGGUUCACCAGCAAUUCCUUCAACUUCGGCUACAGCACAGGAACCAGAACUGCAGUAAAAGGAGAGGUUUUCUUAAGGGAGUGUAGCAGUUGUUGAACUUUAGGACAAAACGCUUAAAAUCAACACAAAAUUAAAGUUCUUUGUGGUUACUUAGUUUUAGUUUUUACUUUCCUGCUCCUGAAACAUCCCUUGUGUCCUCACUUUUUACUUUCAGACGGAGGCCGGACAGUCUCGGUGACAAUGGAGAGUGAGCCGUAGCAGGUCGCAGGGACAUCAGUAGACUACGAUGCCUUAAACCGGGAGCUUCAGCACCUCUACAGGAGCCGUCCUCCACCCUCAUUUUGAGUUUGACAGUGCAGCCUCAAGAUGCGUGUUUUCUGUGUACUUUAAAUGGACCGUCCUUCAUCCAGCGUGCUUUAAAACGGCACCAAAACGAGAUUGUUGUCCCGUCAACAAGGACUGUACAGCGGCCUCGCAGACUGCAACCAGUCUGAGGGGAUUCACAGUUUUCGUCUUUGUUUUGAGCCAUAGACAUUCAAAUUAUGUUUUGUUAUUAUUGCAUCUGAAAAACUCUGACACUACUUUUUCCAUAUCUUGAGCCAAUGCAUCUCAAUACAUUGUGUGUGUUUUAUAAACAUGAAUUAAUCACAUUAUACAUUCCUACUAGAGAAACAGCCUUUGUCAGUAUUAAUCCAGCAUUAACAACUAAAAGAGAGCGGUGGUAACCACUAAAGUGAGAUGUGUAUAACACUCAACAGUAUUAGUUUUAACUCCAAGCACAGUGCCAUUAUUAAGAUUAUUAACAGUCAGUUAUCAAAUGGUAUAAUAUAGUUUAGAUAGUUAGUUUAAAUAGUUGAAAAUAUUUUAAAGGCUUUUUUUUAACAAUUUAAAGAGACUUAUUUUUUACAUUUCAAGAUUUUGACUGGUCAAAUAAAAUGUAAGGACCACAUCCUGUUAAACUUCAUUGAACAUGGUUUCAUUGCAUUUAAAACACAUGAGUUAAGAGUAAUUAUCAAUGAGGUUGCUGUUUUCAUUGCACUAUACAAUUUGUAAUUUAUUUAUUUUUCAGGCUUUUAUAAAUGAAAUGUCUUUCAGUGCAUUGAUUUUAUUGUAAUGAGUUAUUUAGUUGUUUUAAUGUGUAUUGUGCUCUUCCACAGAUUGUGUUCAUGUUCAUAAUCAAUCCUUUGCAACCGUGUGUAUUUGUUUCUAACUUAAUCACGCUUGUGUUUUAAUGCCAAUGAUUAAGUCUGUCUUCAUUAUUGUUUUUCUGACUAAAGAAAUAGAUUAAUUUGAAGGUUGGAAAGCAUAAAAUGACACCCCAAUAAAACUCAAGGAUGUUUGAUCCUGUGUCCUUGAGCCUGUUAAGCAAAUAGAUAAGGUACUUUAUAGAGCAGCGCAUGCUCACUGCUGCUUUAUUUGGUUAAAUUCAUUUCAGUGGAAAUGAUACAGUGACCUGUAGACAACAAUAAUAAUGUGUAGAUGUUACACAUUCUCAAGUUUAAUUACUGACUGAACUCGGCCUAAUGGAUCUCAAGCAGCUACUGCUGCUAAUGUAGUUAGGCCUGUAAAGAGCUUUUCUUUUUUUUUUGUUCUAUAACAAUAAAUAUGUAAGAAACUAUAAAUAUGUGAUUCUUUAUUUUGAACACUGGCGCAUUGGGAUUUGUAACAUGACAGAAGUUUAGAUGUCUUACUUGACAGUGAAACAGCUCUGCAGAGGACUGACUGUUACAGUUUAUCGUAAUCAGUGUGGAUUUGUCCAGAUAGUGUUUUAUAUGACACAUGAUUCUGCCUGUGAAAUGUGGGAUCCUCAAAAUCUUCAAAUGUGGGUUAUAUCUGUAGUCAGGGGUCAAAAACAUAACUCUUGAAAUAUGAAAC